GUCACUUUGGCGGAGUGGUUAACGCGCUGCCCUGCUAAUUAACAGUUAGCUGCUUAGGCAGUUCCCUCGGGAGCGUAGGUUCGAAUCCUACAGGUGACG
This 99-nucleotide transfer RNA is filed under the name Collariella sp. IMI 366227. RNAcentral describes it as "tRNA-Ser". It matches the Rfam family "tRNA". Rfam says of the family: Transfer RNA (tRNA) molecules are approximately 80 nucleotides in length. Lineage: Eukaryota; Fungi; Ascomycota; Sordariomycetes; Sordariales; Chaetomiaceae. The record is from RNAcentral.